RNAcentral lists this ribosomal RNA (465 nucleotides) under uncultured Klebsiella sp. RNAcentral describes it as "bacterial SSU rRNA". It matches the Rfam family "Bacterial small subunit ribosomal RNA", at positions 338 to 795 of the family's 1533-position model. The record is from RNAcentral. Lineage: Bacteria; Pseudomonadati; Pseudomonadota; Gammaproteobacteria; Enterobacterales; Enterobacteriaceae.
CCUACGGGCGGCUGCAGUGGGGAAUAUUGCACAAUGGGCGCAAGCCUGAUGCAGCCAUGCCGCGUGUGUGAAGAAGGCCUUCGGGUUGUAAAGCACUUUCAGCGGGGAGGAAGGCGUUAAGGUUAAUAACCUUGGCGAUUGACGUUACCCGCAGGAGAAGCACCGGCUAACUCCGUGCCAGCAGCCGCGGUAAUACGGAGGGUGCAAGCGUUAAUCGGAAUUACUGGGCGUAAAGCGCACGCAGGCGGUCUGUCAAGUCGGAUGUGAAAUCCCCGGGCUCAACCUGGGAACUGCAUUCGAAACUGGCAGGCUAGAGUCUUGUAGAGGGGGGUAGAAUUCCAGGUGUAGCGGUGAAAUGCGUAGAGAUCUGGAGGAAUACCGGUGGCGGAGGCGGCCCCCUGGACAAAGACUGACGCUCAGGUGCGAAAGCGUGGGGAGCAAACAGGAUUAGAUACCCUUGUAGUC